CCUACGGGGGGCAGCAGUGGGGGAUAUUGCACAAUGGGGGAAACCCUGAUGCAGCGACGCCGCGUGAGUGAAGAAGUAUUUCGGUAUGUAAAGCUCUAUCAGCAGGGAAGAAAAUGACAGUACCUGACCACGAAGCCCCGGCUAACUACGUGCCAGCAGCCGCGGUAAUACGUAGGGGGCAAGCGUUAUCCGGAUUUACUGGGUGUAAAGGGAGCGUAGUCGGUUAUGUAAGUCUGGAGUGAAAGGCCGGGGCCAAACCCCGGGACUGCCUUGGAAACUGUGUAACUGGAGUACAGGAGGGGCAGGCGGAAUGCGUGGUGUAGCGGUGAAAUGCGUAGAUAUCAGGAGGAACACCGGCGGCGAAGGCGGCCUGCUGGACUGAAACUGACGUUGAGGCUCGAAAGCGUGGGGAGCGAACAGGAUUAGAUACCCUUGUAGUC
This 440-nucleotide ribosomal RNA is filed under the name uncultured bacterium. Its description in RNAcentral is "partial 16S ribosomal RNA". It matches the Rfam family "Bacterial small subunit ribosomal RNA", at positions 338 to 795 of the family's 1533-position model. The record is from RNAcentral.